This 495-nucleotide ribosomal RNA is filed under the name uncultured bacterium. Its description in RNAcentral is "partial 16S ribosomal RNA". It matches the Rfam family "Bacterial small subunit ribosomal RNA", at positions 28 to 507 of the family's 1533-position model. The record is from RNAcentral.
GACGAACGCUGGCGGCGUGCCUAAUACAUGCAAGUAGAACGCUGAAGGAGGAGCUUGCUUCUCUGGAUGAGUUGCGAACGGGUGAGUAACGCGUAGGUAACCUGCCUGGUAGCGGGGGAUAACUAUUGGAAACGAUAGCUAAUACCGCAUAAUAGCAGUUGUUGCAUGACAACUGUUUGAAAGGUGCAAUUGCACCACUACCAGAUGGACCUGCGUUGUAUUAGGUAGUUGGUGGGGUAACGGCUCACCAAGGCGACGAUACAUAGCCGACCUGAGAGGGGGAUCGGCCAAACUGGGACUGAGACACGGCCCAGACUCCUACGGGAGGCAGCAGUAGGGAAUCUUCGGCAAUGGACGGAAGUCUGACCGAGCAACGCCGCGUGAGUGAAGAAGGUUUUCGGAUCGUAAAGCUCUGUUGUAAGAGAAGAACGAGAGUGAGAGUGGAAAGUUCACACUGUGACGGUAUCUUACCAGAAAGGGACGGCUAACUACGUG